GAUGAACGCUGGCGGCGUGCCUAAUACAUGCAAGUCGAGCGAACGGACGAGAAGCUUGCUUCUCUGAUGUUAGCGGCGGACGGGUGAGUAACACGUGGAUAACCUACCUAUAAGACUGGGAUAACUUCGGGAAACCGUAGCUAAUACCGGAUAAUAUUUUGAACCGCAUGGUUCAAAAGUGAAAGACGGUCUUGCUGUCACUUAUAGAUGGAUCCGCGCUGCAUUAGCUAGUUGGUAAGGUAACGGCUUACCAAGGCAACGAUGCAUAGCCGACCUGAGAGGGUGAUCGGCCACACUGGAACUGAGACACGGUCCAGACUCCUACGGGAGGCAGCAAUAGGGAAUCUUCCGCAAUGGGCGAAAGCCUGACGGAGCAACGCCGCGUGAGUGAUGAAGGUCUUCGGAUCGUAAAACUCUGUUAUUAGGGAAGAACAUAUGUGUAAGUAACUGUGCACAUCUUGACGGUACCUAAUCAGAAAGCCACGGCUAACUACGUGC
This 498-nucleotide ribosomal RNA is filed under the name uncultured bacterium. RNAcentral's name for it is "partial 16S ribosomal RNA". It matches the Rfam family "Bacterial small subunit ribosomal RNA", at positions 28 to 508 of the family's 1533-position model. The record is from RNAcentral.